Molecule: ribosomal RNA, 902 nt
Filed under: uncultured bacterium
Lineage: Bacteria
Description: bacterial SSU rRNA
Rfam family: Bacterial small subunit ribosomal RNA
Source: RNAcentral
AGAGUUUGAUCAUGGCUCAGGACGAACGCUGGCGGCGUGCUUAACACAUGCAAGUCGAACGAUGAAGCCGGGGCUUUUUGUUUUGGUGGAUUAGUGGCGAACGGGUGAGUAAUACGUGAGUAACCUGCCCUUGUCUUUGGGAUAAGCCUGGGAAACUGGGUCUAAUACCGGAUAUUCUGCUUUUGCCGCAUGGUGGGGGUUGGAAAGAUUUUUUGGAUGGGGAUGGGCUCACGGCCUAUCAGCUUGUUGGUGGGGUGAUGGCCUACCAAGGCGUCGACGGGUAGCCGGCCUGAGAGGGUGACCGGCCACAUUGGGACUGAGAUACGGCCCAGACUCCUACGGGAGGCAGCAGUGGGGAAUAUUGCACAAUGGACGCAAGUCUGAUGCAGCGACGCCGCGUGGGGGAUGAAGGCUUUCGGGUUGUAAACUCCUUUCAGUACAGAAGAAGCAUUUUUUGUGACGGUAUGUGCAGAAGAAGCGCCGGCUAACUACGUGCCAGCAGCCGCGGUAAUACGUAGGGCGCGAGCGUUGUCCGGAAUUAUUGGGCGUAAAGAGCUCGUAGGCGGUUUGUUGCGCCUGCUGUGAAAGACCGGGGCUUAACUUCGGGGUUGCAGUGGGUACGGGCAGACUAGAGUGUGGUAGGGGUAAUUGGAAUUCCUGGUGUAGCGGUGGAAUGCGCAGAUAUCAGGAGGAACACCGAUGGCGAAGGCAGGUUACUGGGCCAUUACUGACGCUGAGGAGCGAAAGCGUGGGUAGCGAACAGGAUUAGAUACCCUGGUAGUCCACGCUGUAAACGUUGGGCACUAGGUGUGGGGCCUUUUCCACGGGUUCUGCGCCGUAGCUAACGCUUUAAGUGCCCCGCCUGGGGAGUACGGCCGCAAGGUUAAAACUCAAAGGAAUGA